GCGAGAUUGAGGCCGCGGAUGGCGAGCACAAUGUCGGAGUGGUCGUGGUCGAGGUAAAUGAGGUAGGGCGGGGCGCGGCCGUAGGUGUCGGCGUAGCUCCGGCGACGGAUGACCAUGCGGGGGUUCAUGCGGUAACCGCCGGGGGGCGCCCAGACGGGGUUAUCGAGGUCGUCCUCGUAGACGGCGAGGAGGUAACGGCAGAGGCGG
This 207-nucleotide unclassified non-coding RNA is filed under the name Hevea brasiliensis (rubber tree). Lineage: Eukaryota; Viridiplantae; Streptophyta; Magnoliopsida; Malpighiales; Euphorbiaceae. The record is from RNAcentral.